Molecule: long non-coding RNA, 2427 nt
Filed under: Trifolium pratense (red clover)
Lineage: Eukaryota; Viridiplantae; Streptophyta; Magnoliopsida; Fabales; Fabaceae
Description: long non-coding RNA (TPRA_LNC000085)
Source: RNAcentral
GGAGGUUAGAAUCAAAUCAUUGUCUACUAUCGAUCAAUUAGAUGUUAGGCGCUUGUGGUAUAAAACCAGUUUUGGGAUACCAACUAUUGACCAGAAAGAACAGAUAAUUAAAUAUUGGAACAUGACAAUAUUCAAUAUAUAGUUUUCUAAUCUGCAAUAUUGGCAUGCUGAAUUUAUUAGAUGUUGGAUAUCAGUUCAAAAAAUUGUGCAUCACUCUAGUCCUUGAAAACUAUAACAUUCAGUUUCUUCACUGCAAACAGAUAAAGGAUCAUUCCAAAGAUUUUAAGCAUGUGAAGCACCAAUAAAUAAAAAACCCAUUAUCUUGAGAAUGAGAGAGAUAAACGACACUUACAAGGUAAAACUAAAACUAAAAUUGAUUUCAGACUUCAUAGAAAUGAGCAAACAAAAACACACAAAUUUGACACUCACAUUUUCCACAAAGUUAAAGUAGUCAUAGNNNNNNNNNNNNNNNNNNNNNNNNNNNNNNNNNNGCCAUACCUGCUCUGUUGCUUCACUCUUCCACACACUCACUUUGCAUAAAUCCUUCAAAUAAUCUGUCAAAAGAGGAACAUCAUUUACAAUAGGAAAAAGAAAAACAUAACCAAUAAUUAAAGAAAAGGUAAAAAGGGAUAUCUACACAUGCAACUUCAAAACAAAACUUAGAAACAAUAAGCAUAAUAGUUUAUUUAUGGAAGUCACAAUAGUAAAAACCCAACAUGAGCAAAAUAGAAUCUCUAGAACAUGAAAGGAACACAACUUAUCAAAGUUCCUANNNNNNNNNAACAUAAGGUAUCAAGCAUAAGAUCAAAACAUGAUAUAUAUCAGUGCUAAAGGAUACAUGUCAUAUACUAGCAUAUAUUAGCAUUCAAAUUGAUAACAAUCCUAAAUGAAAAUUAAUCUAAUCAGAUUCCUUCACUCAUAGUUCAAUCUUAUUAAUUCCAAUACAUAUAAUAACUAGACAGCCUAAUGCAACUUCAGUAUGACAUCAGUUAAAGUUAACAAAGGUAUGCUGUAUCAAAUAAUACUAAAAAAGACAACAUAGACAAUCAUUAUAGUGUUUAUUUAUGUUUGUCAGUUAUGAACAGUGGAGGUGGCUUUAUCUAAUUUAUAGUACAGAGAACUCUGGAACAUUAGAUCAGGUUUAAAUUCAUAGUCAAUAAUAUAUAGGUCACUUUGUUGGUGAUAAGGUGGCGUUGAGUUCCUUUACCAGAAGCAGGAGCAAUGGAAAUCAUAACAUGCAGUGGAUCUUCCGUCUACGCCAUUUCUAGAUUUGGCAAGUCCAUAUUGUUGUCUCAAGCUCCCUAAAUUGUCUAGAGCUCUUUCAAACAAGCAUAAUAUCUCAUCCUUCACAGCUAAUGAUCUGCAAUGCAUUGACCGCUCAAACAUUAAUUUAGACAAACAAGGUAGAUACAUGAUAAUAAAAUCAAUAACAAAAUUAGAAUCAUUGCAAUCUAGUACUGGUCUAGCUAACAUGUCACAUAGACACUACAAUCAACCACCUCAGAUAAGAGAGCCUUCAACUUCUGAAGUUAUUUGUAUGAUUGCCGAGAGAUAUCAUAAGGUAUCAUGAGACAAAGCAAAGUAAAACAGGGGAAAUUGUAAGGUAUCAUGAGAGAUCAAAACAUAUUAUCAAAUAUUAUCGGUGGAAAAUGAAUUAACGAAACUUGAUCAAAACAAUGUUGCUCAUCAAGGCAUGUGGUUAUCAUAUGUCAAAACCAAUCCAAUAAUCAAUAAACCAUCUUCCCACAUUCUAAAUUUAAUUCACCUAUAUUUUCAUAUCAAAACGCUUUUUUUUUUUCAAUCAAAACAAGGUUGAAACUUCACUAACCUCUAUCCCAAUUUCAGCAACACACCAGAAACCAACUAUUUAUUAACAAUUAUUCAGUACAGCAGAGUAUAGUACACAGACACUGAAUAAUUUUUAAACAAGCAGAGUAAGCAAACAACAUGAAGAACACUAAGAAUCAUAAUGUAAAACCAAAAAAUCCCUAAACUUUUGAUAGAUAGCUAGUGAUCUAAGAAUAUUAAAUCAGAAAACAAAACCUACAGAUUUUGAGAAAUACCAAAUGAAAAUCGUAGAAAUAUAAAGGAAGAUGAGUGUUCUACCGAACUUUCUAUUCUCCUCUUAGCUUAUGCGGCAUCAAUUCUUGCAUUCCUGGAUGUUUUAGGGUUUAAGAGAUUAAGAGGAAAGGGCCUACUAAUAGAAAAACUGUAAACUCAGAAAACCUAGAUCUAUUGUUUAACGAGAAAAGAGAGAAAACCUGAACCAUCGGCGUUGUCAUGUCCCAUCGCGUAUUCGAUUGUAUUUGCCGUUAAUGUUCCAAUCAAGCUUCGACAAAGCAGUGGAUUGAUCGGAUCUUGAAAGGAGAGGUAUAUACUUCAGGUUCGAAGAGAGAUUGGGAAAGAAGGUUUUUUUUUUUUUUAAUA